This 497-nucleotide ribosomal RNA is filed under the name uncultured bacterium. RNAcentral's name for it is "partial 16S ribosomal RNA". It matches the Rfam family "Bacterial small subunit ribosomal RNA", at positions 28 to 507 of the family's 1533-position model. The record is from RNAcentral.
GAUGAACGCUGGCGGCGUGCCUAAUACAUGCAAGUAGAACGCUGAAGGAAGGAGCUUGCUCUUUCCGGAUGAGUUGCGAACGGGUGAGUAACGCGUAGGUAACCUGCCUGGUAGCGGGGGAUAACUAUUGGAAACGAUAGCUAAUACCGCAUAACAGUAGAUGUUGCAUGAUAUCUACUUAAAAGGUGCAAUUGCACCACUACCAGAUGGACCUGCGUUGUAUUAGCUAGUUGGUGAGGUAACGGCUCACCAAGGCGACGAUACAUAGCCGACCUGAGAGGGUGAUCGGCCACACUGGGACUGAGACACGGCCCAGACUCCUACGGGAGGCAGCAGUAGGGAAUCUUCGGCAAUGGACGGAAGUCUGGCCGAGCAACGCCGCGUGAGUGAAGAAGGUUUUCGGAUCGUAAAGCUCUGUUGUAAGAGAAGAACGAGUGUGAGAGUGGAAAGUUCACACUGUGACGGUAUCUGACCAGAAAGGGACGGCUAACUACGUG